RNAcentral lists this ribosomal RNA (497 nucleotides) under uncultured bacterium. RNAcentral describes it as "partial 16S ribosomal RNA". It matches the Rfam family "Bacterial small subunit ribosomal RNA", at positions 28 to 507 of the family's 1533-position model. The record is from RNAcentral.
GACGAACGCUGGCGGCGUGCCUAAUACAUGCAAGUUGAGCGCUGAAGGUUGGUACUUGUACCAACUGGAUGAGCAGCGAACGGGUGAGUAACGCGUGGGGAAUCUGCCUUUGAGCGGGGGACAACAUUUGGAAACGAAUGCUAAUACCGCAUAAAAACUUUAAACACAAGUUUUAAGGUUGAAAGAUGCAAUUGCAUCACUCAAAGAUGAUCCCGCGUUGUAUUAGCUAGUUGGUGAGGUAAAGGCUCACCAAGGCGAUGAUACAUAGCCGACCUGAGAGGGUGGUCGGCCACAUUGGGACUGUGACACGGCCCAUACUCCUUCGGGAGGCAGCAGUAGGGAAUCUUCGGCAAUGGGCGGAAGUCUGACCGAGCAACGCCGCGUGAGUGAAGAAGGUUUUCGGAUCGUAAAACUCUGUUGGUAGAGAAGAACGUUGGUGAGAGUGGAAAGCUCAUCAAGUGACGGUAACUACCCAGAAAGGGACGGCUAACUACGUG